This 435-nucleotide ribosomal RNA is filed under the name uncultured bacterium. RNAcentral's name for it is "partial 16S ribosomal RNA". It matches the Rfam family "Bacterial small subunit ribosomal RNA", at positions 29 to 507 of the family's 1533-position model. The record is from RNAcentral.
AGCGAACGCUGGCGGCAGGCUUAACACAUGCAAGUCGAGCGGGCACUUUCGGGUGUCAGCGGCGGACGGGUGAGUAACGCGGGGGAACGUGCCCUCUGGUUCGGAAUAACUCAGGGAAACUUGAGCUAAUACCGGAUACGCCCUUUUGGGGAAAGGCUUGCUGCCGGAGGGUCGGCCCGCGUCUGAUUAGCUAGUUGGUGCGGUAACGUCUCACCAAGGCGACGAACAGUAGCGGGUCUGUGAGGAUGGUCAGCCACACUGGGACUGAGACACGGCCCAGACUCCUACGGGAGGCAGCAGUGGGGAAUAUUGGACAGUGGGCGCAAGCCUGAUCCAGCCAUGCCGCGUGAGUGAUGAAGGCCUUAGGGUUGUAAAGCUCUUUUAUCCGGGACGAUAAUGACGGUACCGGAGGAAUAAGCCCCGGCUAACUUCGUG